RNAcentral lists this signal recognition particle RNA (304 nucleotides) under Ricinus communis (castor bean). Its description in RNAcentral is "Plant signal recognition particle RNA". It matches the Rfam family "Plant signal recognition particle RNA". Lineage: Eukaryota; Viridiplantae; Streptophyta; Magnoliopsida; Malpighiales; Euphorbiaceae. The record is from Rfam by way of RNAcentral.
GCCGGGCUCAGUAGCGUGAGCCUGUAACCUGAGUAGGGGCAUUAAGGUGAUGGGACGUUGCUCCGGCCCAGUAGGCCGGCCUUGGUGUGGCUGUGCCCUUGCUCGCCCGUUCCAAGCUGAGAGUUGAGCUAUGUGGCCUUGAGCGAAAGCUGGGGUCACUUGGUUCCUAGAGCGGAGGGCACAGCGUGAGGCUGGUUUCACAGAGCAGCGACAACCUCCUGCUCUUGGCAGUGGAAGGAUAACGAGUUGGUGUCGCCCAAGUCCAUAUGGUCUAAUGGGCCGUGCUAACUGGACCAUCAUUUUU